RNAcentral lists this ribosomal RNA (450 nucleotides) under uncultured bacterium. Its description in RNAcentral is "bacterial SSU rRNA". It matches the Rfam family "Bacterial small subunit ribosomal RNA", at positions 354 to 796 of the family's 1533-position model. The record is from RNAcentral.
GUGGGGAAUAUUGGACAAUGGGCGAAAGCCUGAUCCAGCCAUGCCGCGUGUGUGAAGAAGGUCUUCGGAUUGUAAAGCACUUUAAGUUGGGAGGAAGGGCAGUAAGUUAAUACCUUGCUGUUUUGACGUUACCGACAGAAUAAGCACCGGCUAACUUCGUGCCAGCAGCCGCGGUAAUACGAAGGGUGCAAGCGUUAAUCGGAAUUACUGGGCGUAAAGCGCGCGUAGGUGGUUUUGUAAGUUGAAGGUGAAAUCCCCGGGCUCAACCUGGGAACUGCCUCCAAAACUACUGAGCUAGAGUACGGUAGAGGGUAGUGGAAUUUCCUGUGUAGCGGUGAAAUGCGUAGAUAUAGGAAGGAACACCAGUGGCGAAGGCGACUACCUGGACUGAUACUGACACUGAGGUGCGAAAGCGUGGGGAGCAAACAGGAUUAGAAACCCUGGUAGUCC